UCAAGACAUCAGAAGAUUCGCAGACUGUGAAUUGACUGUGGAACAGAAGUUGAAAAUUUUAAACUUCAUGAAAAGAUUUGGAAAGAUAUCUUUAUGCUUUUCAGUAAGAAAUUAUUUCUUUAUCACAAAAAAGUUUCCAAUAAAGAUGGCCAGCGCACUGAAUUCUGUAUUUUCAAGCCUUAUGAACAUUCGCAAGUACAAGACGUCGUAAUUCAAAUAGAUAAAAUUCAAGUAAAUUCAUAUAUUAAUGACUUUAAGUAUGAAAUGUAAUUUGUUAUCUUAGUUUAUGCUUAGCAUAUGCUAAAAUGUGGAGUCUUAAAUGAAAAAGCGACAAACGAGAUCAUUUUAACGUUACGUGGAGCGCGCUGCCAUGAGGACUUUCCAUGGAAAACUGGUUUCUAUUCAGUGUUAGACAUGUGAAUCCGAAAAACUCCAUCCUAUUGAUGAGGAUCAAUAAGCAUUGGUAUCAAGUUUCAAUAUUUAGUGAUGUUCUGUACUUGGAUACGUUACGUGAAU
Molecule: long non-coding RNA, 516 nt
Organism: Centruroides sculpturatus (bark scorpion)
Lineage: Eukaryota; Metazoa; Arthropoda; Arachnida; Scorpiones; Buthidae
Exons: 3
Source: RefSeq, a predicted model, not a curated record